Scatophagus argus is the source of this 890-nucleotide long non-coding RNA. RefSeq lists it as uncharacterized. Lineage: Eukaryota; Metazoa; Chordata; Actinopteri; Scatophagidae. The record is from RefSeq and is a predicted model, not a curated record. The transcript has 2 exons.
UCAUAUGCCUCUCUCUAAAUAUAUAAAUUAAAUUAAAUUACAUUGCCAAUGACCGUGGCUAACUUUGUAUUUCUAUUUGUAUAUGUUACAUGUUGCUCAUGUUGGAAUUUGCUUCUCCUCUGUCACAGCAACAUAUUGAAGACAGAAGAGAUCUCAUCCUACGUUCCUUGGAGAGCCUGGGGAGGAACUGAUUAAAGAUUGCCAGGAUGCAAGUGAAGAAGACUCUGCUCAUCACAUCCUCAAGAUUUUUUGUCAUCAGUGGAAAUGCAGUACAGGAAGGCCACACUCCUUCCCAUGUGUCAGUCAUCGUCGAAGGAGAGGAGGUUCUACAUGACUGCAAAACUGUGGCAAAGGCUUGCCUUCUGCUCAUGGGUUUAAUCUAUACCAUGAACUUGAGCUACCCACCAAAACUGAAAUACACAUUUGAAGUGUUUCAGAAGCUCGUUCUUGAGCUGGAUGUACCAAAAAUGUCACCCAUGGUUCGGUCUUUGCGAAACAAACUUUGAGCAUUAGUGCUUCCCCAGUUUGUGUAUGCUGGUCCAGGACAUAGAUGUUCUUCUGUGGAAGCAUUGCACGACACAUUGUGAACUGUAACAUUUGUUUUUGAUGAAGGAUUUCGGUGUUGAAGGAGGUCCCUUUGAAAGAAAGUGAUAUGGUCUAUUUGUGUGAUUGCCCUUACCUCUCUUGCAAGGCAGUAGUACUUAAGUUACGCUUCUGGUCGUUUCAUCAAUAUUUUGUCUCUCUAAAUGUUCACAUUUUAGUGAAUUUUCUGAGCAUUGUUUUUGGCAGGACUGAUUAGCAUUGUUUCGGCCAGUAAUGCUUGACUAUAUGUUUUUGCAGCGAGCAACUGAGUAAUCACUACUGAAACAUAAUAAAGGUGUUUGAAAGCA